Molecule: long non-coding RNA, 149 nt
Organism: Nanorana parkeri
Lineage: Eukaryota; Metazoa; Chordata; Amphibia; Anura; Dicroglossidae
Exons: 2
Source: RefSeq, a predicted model, not a curated record
UUUCCAGGAGUCCAGUCAUCCUCGAGUCAAGAUGAGCCUAGAAUUCAUAAGCAACCAAGAGGCCCAUUUGCUCCAAGCAUCGACAGAACAAAAAAGCCGACAGUGAUAUUACCUCCCCAACCAAACACAGGAACAUCUAGUGUUAUAGG